This 179-nucleotide unclassified non-coding RNA is filed under the name fungal sp. RNAcentral's name for it is "partial internal transcribed spacer region". The stretch from base 1 to 46 matches the Rfam family "Eukaryotic small subunit ribosomal RNA", at positions 1786 to 1831 of the family's 1831-position model. The record is from RNAcentral. Lineage: Eukaryota; Fungi.
AAGUCGUAACAAGGUUUCCGUAGGUGAACCUGCGGAAGGAUCAUCAACAAAUCUUCAAAAGCGAGUGUAACUCGACUUUUAACCAAUGUGAAUAGCGCUAGCAAUAGCGAUGUAAACCAUUAGAGUCGGAUAAAAAGCAUUAAUUAAAACAACUUUUAACAAUGGAUCUCUUGGCUCUU